This 89-nucleotide transfer RNA is filed under the name Nocardioides albertanoniae. RNAcentral describes it as "tRNA-Ser". It matches the Rfam family "tRNA". Rfam says of the family: Transfer RNA (tRNA) molecules are approximately 80 nucleotides in length. Their secondary structure includes four short double-helical elements and three loops (D, anti-codon, and T loops). The record is from RNAcentral. Lineage: Bacteria; Bacillati; Actinomycetota; Actinomycetes; Propionibacteriales; Nocardioidaceae.
GGAGGCGUCGCCUAGUCUGGUCUAUGGCGCUCGACUGCUAAUCGAGUUUGGGGUCAAACCCAUCGAGGGUUCAAAUCCCUCCGCCUCCG